GGGAGAGAGAGACUGGAGCAACUUAUGUGCACAGCCUUUCCAUAUACUAUGUCCUGGUGUGCCUGCUAGUAAACGGCAGCAUCAGAAGGGAGGAACUGCAGCUCCUCAUGUCCUGCUUAAGGAUGGUCCAGAAACCCCAGAUGUCUUGUCGCCUUUUCGCCUCCUCCACUGAGAGCAGCAGAUCAGUUCACGUUGACAGAUUAGAGGGGAAGUGUGCAAUUGUUUAUGGCUUCAGCUGUACAUAAAGGAGCCCUGGUAGCUUCUGCUGAGACUUUUCAGUAGAAAAUCCUUCAAAAAAGAAAAAAGAAAGAAAGAAGCAGCUAUUUUGAAGACUGACUUUCUAAAAUUAUAUUUAGGAAUGCCAACCCAUCCUACAUGCCAACCAGUCCCCUCACUUUGGCCGAUCACUGCAGAAAGCCUGGUGCUGAGCUCCAAGGAGACUGUCCCACACAAAUCAAACAGGAUGCCUGCAAGUCCUCUCUAUGGGGCUGUCACCCAAGCCUGUUCAGGGAAUUUUCAACAGUUGCAUCUGCGCAGACAUCGAUUCUCACUUCUUUGCAGUAAUGAUUUACUUCGGUUUAUACCUUCAAUCUGCCCUCCCAAUAGAUACCAGAUCGCGGAUGCCCUGUCCCAAGCAUAAAUCCCGUCCUGUUUACCAAUCCCUCAAAACCUUCAUGACCUUCAUAUUUAACGGGCAUUUUCAAGGAUCUGGCAAGACUGCCGGUUUGGUAAUGCAAGGCAGAAGUUUUCUCCAUGCCAUGGGGUGCAUGGCUUCUAGCUGCUUUGGUCUCUCAUCUCAUCCUAGCAGCCCUUCUACCAUCAAAGAAAGAAGGUUUCUUCCCCUUUGGCUCCAUCCUAUAAACAGUCUCAAGAAUGACUUACACUGGAUCAGCAGAGGUUGCAUACUCCUUCCCCAACCAGACACCAAGCCAGGAAGAUGGGGUCAUAUCCCAAUGUAUUAGCUAUAGAGUAAAAACUUAAAUUUAUUUCUUAACAUGCAUGCCUUUUAAUAGAGAGACUUGUAAACACUUGGGUACUGUCUUACAAAAAGCAGAACUCUCUAAAAAGGGUGACUGGAGGCUGACGCAGAACGACAUCCUGUUGUAUGAGAAAGUCCUGGGGGAAUUUACUCUUCUAACAGCUUGCUUAAUGCUUUUGCUUCCUGUGGAGUGGGCUGGGGUGGGAAUUUAAAGCAGACUUCUAAAUUGAGUUCUGCAGUGGAGGAACUUCUCUUAAAAUCUCUGCUGGAGUUACUUAAGACAUUGAACUGUCGGGGUGCCUGGAUGACUCAGUCAUUUAAGCGUCUAACUCUUGAUUUUGGUUCAGGUCACUAUCUCAGGGUCCUGGGACUGAGCCCCAUGUUGGGCUCCAUGCUCAGUGGGGUCUGCUUGAAGUUCCUCUCCCUCUGCCCCUCCCCUGCCUGUCUUCCUCAAAUAAAUUAAUUAAUUUAAAAAAAAAUUGAGCUGUU
This 1468-nucleotide long non-coding RNA is filed under the name Neogale vison (American mink). RNAcentral describes it as "Neovison vison (American mink) lncRNA (ENSNVIG00000009662.1)". Lineage: Eukaryota; Metazoa; Chordata; Mammalia; Carnivora; Mustelidae. The record is from RNAcentral.